Long non-coding RNA from Choloepus didactylus (southern two-toed sloth), 1430 nucleotides. RefSeq lists it as uncharacterized. The transcript has 3 exons. The record is from RefSeq and is a predicted model, not a curated record. NCBI's taxonomy places the organism in Eukaryota, Metazoa, Chordata, Mammalia, Pilosa, Megalonychidae.
CCAGCGCACACAGGUGGGGGCUGCUUACUGAACUCCCUGCGUAGAGUGAGAGACAGCAGCUGCCUGCUAGCUGGCUAAUAAAAGGCUCUCUAAAUUCUGUUUGGCUGUCUCGUACUUUAACUCGCGGGCACCGUAACAUUUGGAGGCCCCAGCGAGAAUUAUCUCAGUGUUUGCUGAGGCUCAUAGGUCGAGGCAAAGGUCUGACUACCGGCCGUCCCCCAGGGGGCGCGCGCUGAGAGACGGUCCUCAGCCCUGGCAGAGAACCAAGUGGUCAAGCCUCGAAAUUCAAAAAUCCGCCUCUGGAGCUGUCUGGACGUGGGCCCACAACGCCCACAUGGGACAACUGUCAACAACUUCUGCAAAGCCUUUUCACGUCAGAAGAGAGAGAAAAUCCAUGCCCAAGGAUGGAAACUAGUCGUGGGGCCAGACAGUCUGCCAACCACGGAGGUAGACCACCUCGAAGCUGUUUUUUCCCUUCACCCAACCCCGGUGGGACCCUAACACUGAUCAAGUCCUUACAGGCCUUGCAGUAUAACUCCAGAAACAACCACUGCACCAUCCGCGCCCACCACCUGACACCUAACGCCGCGAGAACAGGAACCCCCACGGUUGACUCUUUAGAGUAAACUGGAACUUACCGAAAGCGGCCAAUACAUACCUAGGUGGGGGACGUGCGAAAUUGCAAGGCUUUAGCUGUAGAAACCUAAACUUGGAACAGGGACUAUAAGAUAGUCAGCACUAUAUCUGUCCACAAGAAAGUACCUCAGCAGCAUGUGGAAAAAAAAAAUUAUUUCUGUUACAAUUAGGACUAUAAAACUAUAGCCCCAUAAAAAAAUGUAAACCGUCUGUUAAGGGUCACAGGGAAUAAAAGGCCAAAAGCUCCUACUAAAAAUUGUGCAAUUAAAAGCUAUAACCCUGUUACUUUUAAACCACAGCAGUUUUGGAAGAAUUCCCAGUGGUUGGGGGAAACAAACGUGGAAAUUGCACCUGUAUGUAUCAAGACUUUAGGUAACUUUCAAAGACAAAAAACAUGUUUCCAGUCCCCUCAGUUCCCCGUAUCUACUUCUCCUUAUGCUAAUUGUUGUGCCUCUGUACUACUCUGGGGAGGGAGGUAGAAAGCACUCGGGCUAACUAGCCUCCAACGAGUUGAGUCAAGCAAGGAGGACCAGUAUUAGUGCCGGUACUACUUGGGCUUAAAGUAGCCAGAGCAGCCACAGUAAAAACUGCAGCACUUGUCACAGGGAACCAAAACUUUAAAAUCCUUAGUAAACUCAUGGUUUUGCAAUCUCAAUAUCAACACCUAUCCUCAGAAGAAACAGUAAUUUGAUUCUCCCUAAAAACCAGUGGGGAAUGAAGUGAGGUCCCUUUCCCUUAAUCCCAAAACAUCUGCAAAGCAACAGUGUUGUGUAAACAGCAUUAGGCCAUGAGGA